AGCCUUGUAUUCAAAUAUGAUUUUAAAUUGCAAAUUUAAAGGUGGGGUUACCUAAGGCUU
RNAcentral lists this transfer RNA (60 nucleotides) under Hydrophilidae sp. BMNH 1274334. RNAcentral describes it as "tRNA-Cys". Lineage: Eukaryota; Metazoa; Arthropoda; Insecta; Coleoptera; Hydrophilidae. The record is from RNAcentral.